RNAcentral lists this ribosomal RNA (205 nucleotides) under Pseudomonas aeruginosa. Its description in RNAcentral is "partial 23S ribosomal RNA". It matches the Rfam family "Bacterial large subunit ribosomal RNA", at positions 2740 to 2925 of the family's 2925-position model. The record is from RNAcentral. Lineage: Bacteria; Pseudomonadati; Pseudomonadota; Gammaproteobacteria; Pseudomonadales; Pseudomonadaceae.
GCCGGGUAGCUAUGUUCGGAAAAGAUAACCGCUGAAAGCAUCUAAGCGGGAAACUUGCCUCAAGAUGAGAUCUCACUGGGAACUUGAUUCCCCUGAAGGGCCGUCGAAGACUACGACGUUGAUAGGCUGGGUGUGUAAGCGUUGUGAGGCGUUGAGCUAACCAGUACUAAUUGCCCGUGAGGCUUGACCAUAUAACACCCAAACA